AUUGACACGGCAUUAUAUCCCAAUGGUAUAGAUCGUUGAUGUUGAUCACUGGAUUGUCUGGUCCAGACUUGAUAACUUACAGACUGUCACCAUGUGACUGGAAUAUUGCUGUGUGCAGCGUUAAACAACAAUCAAUUAUCUUGGAUAUACUGAGGUACCCAAGUACUGGCUCCAUCUUGGAUAUACUGAGGUACCAAAGUACUGGCUCCAUCUUGGAUAUACUGAGGUACCCAAGUACUGGCUCCAUCCAUGAUAAACUUGAUUAGCCAAAUAAUGGCUUAACCCUGGAUUACUGGAACACCUGACUAAUUAUAGCCUUGUCUAAGAUGGUGCUAUUUCUUCAUUAAUGUAUACAUCAGAAAUAGUUGUAUUUAGGCUCUAAAUCAGAUCCAGCAAAGUACCUACCGGUAUUCAUGCCAGCCACUUCUGGAGUUUUCAGUAAUAGAAAAUAAACAAGCAACAUUCAAUUUUGACAACAAAAUUUACUUCACAAUGAAUGACCAGCAUUUUUACAAUGAUAUCGUUCUUACCAAUGUUUAAGCAUCCGACUACUAUGACUGGAGUCUAGAGAAAACAGGAAACAUGAACAGUAGAUAGAGAUAUUCAGUGUAGUGGUCUCGCUAGGGCCUGGCUUGUAACAAAAUACACAACUACUGUGGCAGCAACAGCAGCAUCGCAGACCAGCAACUGAGGCGGAGACAAUGCUCAGGGUACGCGACUGCAAACACUUCCUCAAACAGUUUCGUAUGAUUGGCAUUGAAAUCACUUUAUACGAAUAUUGAGAGACAUUCUCAAAUAGGUGAAAAUCUAUCAAAAUUUCGCCUCUGUACUCAAAUUAUUGUUUUGUCACUAUAUUUGAUUGAUU
Haliotis rubra (blacklip abalone) is the source of this 865-nucleotide long non-coding RNA. RefSeq lists it as uncharacterized. NCBI's taxonomy places the organism in Eukaryota, Metazoa, Mollusca, Gastropoda, Lepetellida, Haliotidae. The transcript is spliced from 2 exons. The record is from RefSeq and is a predicted model, not a curated record.